UGCAGACCUCCGCUACCCCGGACUCC
Molecule: non-coding RNA, 26 nt
Filed under: Rattus norvegicus (Norway rat)
Lineage: Eukaryota; Metazoa; Chordata; Mammalia; Rodentia; Muridae
Source: RNAcentral